AUUGGAGGAAAGCAGGGGAUCGCAAGACCUUGCGCUUUUGGAGCGGCCGAUGUCUGAUUAGCUAGUUGGUGAGGUAAAGGCUUACCAAGGCUUCGAUCAGUAGCUGGUCUGAGAGGACGACCAGCCACACUGGGACUGAGACACGGCCCAGACUCCUACGGGAGGCAGUAGUGGGGAAUUUUGGACAAUGGGGGAAACCCUGAUCCAGCCAUGCCGCGUGAGUGAAGAAGGCCUUCGGGUUGUAAAGCUCUUUCAGCCGGAACGAAAAGGUUACGGUUAAUACCCGUGACUAAUGACGGUACCGGAAGAAGAAGCACCGGCUAACUACGUGCCAGCAGCCGCGGUAAUACGUAGGGUGCGAGCGUUAAUCGGAAUUACUGGGCGUAAAGCGUGCGCAGGCGGUUUUGUAAGUCAGAUGUGAAAUCCCCGGGCUCAACCUGGGAACUGCGUUUGAAACUACA
RNAcentral lists this ribosomal RNA (461 nucleotides) under uncultured beta proteobacterium. Its description in RNAcentral is "bacterial SSU rRNA". It matches the Rfam family "Bacterial small subunit ribosomal RNA", at positions 195 to 637 of the family's 1533-position model. Lineage: Bacteria; Pseudomonadati; Pseudomonadota; Betaproteobacteria. The record is from RNAcentral.